UCCUUUUCAGACCAAACUGG
Molecule: small nuclear RNA, 20 nt
Filed under: Arabidopsis thaliana (thale cress)
Lineage: Eukaryota; Viridiplantae; Streptophyta; Magnoliopsida; Brassicales; Brassicaceae
Description: snRNA_11915
Source: RNAcentral